AAAUUUUCACAGAUGAUGUAUUUCUGUUGCCGCUAUAACAACAAAUACUAAAACAGAAUAAAAUAAAGAUUUAAGUGGGGCUCCCAUACUGUUGUAAACGUGAUUUUUGAUAGAAGUUAAGCAACGUCGGGCUCGGGCGGGGUCAGUACUUGGAUGGGUGACCGUUUUUAUAGAUAAUGGUACGGAACCCUUCGUGUGCGAGUCCGACUCGCACUUGGCCGGUUUUUAUUUAGAACGAAGUUGAUUUAUAAGGUUUACUUGAUCCUUGUGGGAAGCAAAUGAAGCUUUAUUUGUAAGUAUGUAUGUAAAAUAAAAUAAUAUUAAUAAUCUAUCAACCGCAUCUAGAUCGAUAGUGCUCGUCAAGGAAAAUCUAUUGAGCCCAAACACGAUGGAGUUAUGAUGAGUAGAUUAGGAUAGAUUAGGAUUUCUGGUGACCAACUCCUGACUCCAUCAUGAGAACCUGGACUUCAUCUAGAUCAA
Molecule: long non-coding RNA, 480 nt
Organism: Cydia splendana
Lineage: Eukaryota; Metazoa; Arthropoda; Insecta; Lepidoptera; Tortricidae
Exons: 2
Source: RefSeq, a predicted model, not a curated record